RNAcentral lists this transfer RNA (85 nucleotides) under Felis catus (domestic cat). It matches the Rfam family "tRNA". From Rfam's summary of the family: Transfer RNA (tRNA) molecules are approximately 80 nucleotides in length. Their secondary structure includes four short double-helical elements and three loops (D, anti-codon, and T loops). Further hydrogen bonds mediate the characteristic L-shaped molecular structure. tRNAs have two regions of fundamental functional importance: the anti-codon, which is responsible for specific mRNA codon recognition, and the 3' end, to which the tRNAs corresponding amino acid is attached (by aminoacyl-tRNA synthetases). tRNAs cope with the degeneracy of the genetic code in two manners: having more than one tRNA (with a specific anti-codon) for a particular amino acid; and 'wobble' base-pairing, i.e. permitting non-standard base-pairing at the 3rd anti-codon position. The record is from Rfam by way of RNAcentral. Lineage: Eukaryota; Metazoa; Chordata; Mammalia; Carnivora; Felidae.
ACCUGGGUGGCUCAGUCGGUUGGGCGUCUGACUUCCGCUCAGGUCAUGAUAUCACGAUUCGUGGGUUCAAGCCCCGCAUCGGGCU